ACUUAUUUAGUUUAAAUUAAGAAUAAUAGUUUGUGGGGCUAUAGGUAUAAGGUAUAUUUAUUAUGAGUU
This 69-nucleotide transfer RNA is filed under the name Megaris sp. RNAcentral describes it as "tRNA-His". Lineage: Eukaryota; Metazoa; Arthropoda; Insecta; Hemiptera; Megarididae. The record is from RNAcentral.